UUAAAAUCUCUAUGCAGUUAUUUCAAAAUAUAUUCAGAGCAAAUAACUUCACUACAGUUGCUGUCUCUUAAGACUUACGUCGUUUUGAGCAUUCUGGUUCUGGCUAAUAUCUUGAUUCAGGGGGUGCUAACAGCUGAUAAUAGUUCGGAGUCUAAUUCGGACAGAAAGGGAAAUUAGAGUACAGGAAAAGUUUUCGCCUGUUUAACAUUACGUUAAUCCACUAAAUUUUCAAAAUGCUGUCACUGAAAACACUUUUCAUAUUGGUACUCAUCAUGGCUGUUAUUAAUCCCCCCUACUAUACCGUGACUGCUGGCAAGCGUGAUGGGUCUUCAUCGGAGUCAUCAGAGUCAUCAAAGUCAUCAGAGUCAUCAGAGCCACGCCUUGGUCAUAAUGAGUCACACUCUACUAUUUCAUAUAAUGAAAUUUAUGCGAAACCAAUACUCAUUGGUUAGUAACAUGGCUCCCUCGACAGUCUGAACUGGAUGGAUAAUGAAUUUCUGAACAAUAUUUACCACAAUACAUGGCGUGUACAUAUAAGAGAAUAAACCCAAACAACUAUCUACUGUUGCAAUAAUUGCUGUUGUGUUACACCUCUCCUAGACUAAACAUUGAAAGGAUAUUCACAUUUGAAGAUGCUGAGGGGGCCG
Cryptotermes secundus is the source of this 647-nucleotide long non-coding RNA. RefSeq lists it as uncharacterized. The record is from RefSeq and is a predicted model, not a curated record. NCBI's taxonomy places the organism in Eukaryota, Metazoa, Arthropoda, Insecta, Blattodea, Kalotermitidae. The transcript has 4 exons.